GCUCAUAUGGCUCAGGGGUAGAGCACUUCCUUGGUAAGGAAGAGGUCGUGGGUUCAAGUCCCACUAUGAGCUCCA
This 75-nucleotide transfer RNA is filed under the name Pleomorphochaeta sp. RNAcentral describes it as "tRNA-Thr". It matches the Rfam family "tRNA". Rfam says of the family: Transfer RNA (tRNA) molecules are approximately 80 nucleotides in length. Their secondary structure includes four short double-helical elements and three loops (D, anti-codon, and T loops). Further hydrogen bonds mediate the characteristic L-shaped molecular structure. tRNAs have two regions of fundamental functional importance: the anti-codon, which is responsible for specific mRNA codon recognition, and the 3' end, to which the tRNAs corresponding amino acid is attached (by aminoacyl-tRNA synthetases). tRNAs cope with the degeneracy of the genetic code in two manners: having more than one tRNA (with a specific anti-codon) for a particular amino acid; and 'wobble' base-pairing, i.e. permitting non-standard base-pairing at the 3rd anti-codon position. Lineage: Bacteria; Pseudomonadati; Spirochaetota; Spirochaetia; Spirochaetales; Sphaerochaetaceae. RNAcentral also lists the same sequence under 1 other name. The record is from RNAcentral.